UUGACCUCGGAUCAGGUAGGAAUACCCGCUGAACUUAAGCAUAUCAAUAAGCGGAGGAAAG
RNAcentral lists this ribosomal RNA (61 nucleotides) under Thelidium zwackhii. RNAcentral's name for it is "partial 28S ribosomal RNA". It matches the Rfam family "Eukaryotic large subunit ribosomal RNA", at positions 1 to 60 of the family's 3401-position model. Lineage: Eukaryota; Fungi; Ascomycota; Eurotiomycetes; Verrucariales; Verrucariaceae. The record is from RNAcentral.